RNAcentral lists this small RNA (23 nucleotides) under Lacticaseibacillus paracasei. RNAcentral describes it as "Lactobacillus paracasei CRISPR-DR28". The record is from RNAcentral. Lineage: Bacteria; Bacillati; Bacillota; Bacilli; Lactobacillales; Lactobacillaceae.
GGCAAUGCCAGCCAUGCGGGCAA